CGGGUGAGUACACGUGAGUAUCUGCCUUCGAAUCGGGGAUAGCCNCGCGAAAGCGGGGCNUAUACCGGAUGAAGUCCGGAUGGUUUUGGCUGUUUGGAUGAAAGGUGGCCUCUACAUGUAAGCUACUGUUUGAAGAUGAGCUCGCGGACCAUUAGCUUGUUGGUGGGGGUAAGGCCUACCAAGGCAACGAUGGUUAGCUGGUCUGAGAGGAUGAUCAGUCACACUGGAACUGACACACGGUCCAGACUCCUACGGGAGGCAGCAGUGAGGAAUUUUGCGCAAUGGGGGAAACCCUGACGCAGCAACGCCGCGUGAGUGAUGAAGGCCUUCGGGUCGUAAAGCUCUGUCGAGUGGGAAGAACCUGCAUUGGAGAUAAUAUUCCGAUGCACUGACGGUACCACUGGAGGAAGCACCGGCUAACUCCGUGCCAGCAGCCGCGGUAAUACGGAGGGUGCAAGCGUUAUUCGGAAUCAUUGGGCGUAAAGGGCACGUAGGCGGUUUGCUGGGUCGGAUGUGAAAUCCCGGGGCUUAACCCCGGGAAGUGCAUUCGAAACUGGCAGACUUGAGUAUGGGAGAGGGAAGCGGAAUUCCUGGUGUAAAGGCGAAAUUCGUAGAUAUCAGGAGGAACACCGGUGGCGAAGGCGGCUUCCUGGACCAAUACUGACGCU
This 668-nucleotide ribosomal RNA is filed under the name uncultured organism. RNAcentral describes it as "bacterial SSU rRNA". It matches the Rfam family "Bacterial small subunit ribosomal RNA", at positions 103 to 747 of the family's 1533-position model. The record is from RNAcentral.